AAAGAUCACAAACACUCACAAGGA
Molecule: non-coding RNA, 24 nt
Filed under: Arabidopsis thaliana (thale cress)
Lineage: Eukaryota; Viridiplantae; Streptophyta; Magnoliopsida; Brassicales; Brassicaceae
Source: RNAcentral